Molecule: ribosomal RNA, 465 nt
Filed under: Fusarium oxysporum f. sp. lycopersici
Lineage: Eukaryota; Fungi; Ascomycota; Sordariomycetes; Hypocreales; Nectriaceae
Description: eukaryotic LSU rRNA
Rfam family: 5.8S ribosomal RNA (bases 112-265)
Source: RNAcentral
ACUUGUUGCCUCGGCGGAUCACCCGCUCCCGGUAAAACGGGACGGCCCGCCAGAGGACCCCUAAACUCUGUUUCUAUAUGUAACUUCUGAGUAAAACCAUAAAUAAAUCAAAACUUUCAACAACGGAUCUCUUGGUUCUGGCAUCGAUGAAGAACGCAGCAAAAUGCGAUAAGUAAUGUGAAUUGCAGAAUUCAGUGAAUCAUCGAAUCUUUGAACGCACAUUGCGCCCGCCAGUAUUCUGGCGGGCAUGCCUGUUCGAGCGUCAUUUCAACCCUCAAGCACAGCUUGGUGUUGGGACUCGCGUUAAUUCGCGUUCCUCAAAUUGAUUGGCGGUCACGUCGAGCUUCCAUAGCGUAGUAGUAAAACCCUCGUUACUGGUAAUCGUCGCGGCCACGCCGUUAAACCCCAACUUCUGAAUGUUGACCUCGGAUCAGGUAGGAAUACCCGCUGAACUUAAGCAUAUCA